CCUACGGGAGGCAGCAGUGGGGAAUAUUGCACAAUGGGGGAAACCCUGAUGCAGCGACGCCGCGUGAGUGAAGAAGUAUUUCGGUACGUAAAGCUCUAUCAGCAGGGAAGAAAUAAAGUCCUUCGGACUUUGGACGGUACCUGACUAAGAAGCCCCGGCUAACUACGUGCCAGCAGCCGCGGUAAUACGUAGGGGGCAAGCGUUAUCCGGAUUUACUGGGUGUAAAGGGAGCGUAGACGGCAGCGCAAGUCUGGAGUGAAAUCCCAUGGCUUAACCAUGGAACUGCUUUGGAAACUGUGCAGCUGGAGUGCAGGAGAGGUAAGCGGAAUUCCUAGUGUAGCGGUGAAAUGCGUAGAUAUUAGGAGGAACACCAGUGGCGAAGGCGGCUGUCUGGUCUGCAACUGACGCUGAGGCUCGAAAGCAUGGGUAGCGAACAGGAUUAGAUACCCCUGUAGUC
RNAcentral lists this ribosomal RNA (457 nucleotides) under uncultured bacterium. Its description in RNAcentral is "partial 16S ribosomal RNA". It matches the Rfam family "Bacterial small subunit ribosomal RNA", at positions 338 to 795 of the family's 1533-position model. The record is from RNAcentral.